AGCUUUUUGAAUCCAUGCCGAGAUUUCGUCAGACACCAACCCAUCGGGACUAAUGAAACUCUCAUGAUAAGCGGACG
RNAcentral lists this microRNA precursor (77 nucleotides) under Schistosoma margrebowiei. Its description in RNAcentral is "mir-3492 microRNA precursor family". It matches the Rfam family "mir-3492 microRNA precursor family". The record is from Rfam by way of RNAcentral. Lineage: Eukaryota; Metazoa; Platyhelminthes; Trematoda; Strigeidida; Schistosomatidae.